Molecule: long non-coding RNA, 1592 nt
Filed under: Trifolium pratense (red clover)
Lineage: Eukaryota; Viridiplantae; Streptophyta; Magnoliopsida; Fabales; Fabaceae
Description: long non-coding RNA (TPRA_LNC010290)
Source: RNAcentral
GACAGACUAUUACUUGCUCAUUUUACAAACAAACUCACUUUAUAGAGCUUUUGUCAUUUUAUAUACAAAUUGAUUAAGAAGAUAUAGGCCUUGUUUGAAUGUACAAUUAAUUAACUUAAACGCUUAUCGUAUAGGUGUUUAUGUAUAACCAGAUGCAUACAGUAAAAUAGAUGGUUAUUUUACACGAUUAUUAGCUAAUUAUAUUUAUGUAUAGAAAUUAUAGUUCUUCAAAUCUUCCGAAAGCGAAACACUUGUUUGGAUUGAGGAUUGUCCUCCUUGUAUUGCUUCUGCUGUAGCAGCUAAAAAUGAAAUUUGAAAUAUUUAUAGGAAUCAAAAUUUUAUUUAACCUUAAGAGAAAUAAAAAGGUUAGUAAAAAUUUAAACCAAAGUAUGAGAGAAAAAAUUAUAAGAGUAACAACAAUAUGACAUUUAAAUAAAAUUUUAGACUUCAAAAGAAACAAGAUAACUUUUCAACUAACCUGUUAAUUGCUGCAGUAACAUUUAUUAGAAAAACACACCCCAACUUUAGGUGGGUGACACAAAUAAUUUGGACAAUCCUUAUCAUACUUGCAACCACGAGAUCCUCAGAUGUGAAAAAUGUAUAAAUGAAUGUUAAUAAAAUAUAAUUAUUUUUUUUAAAAAAAAAUCAAUAAGAGAAAAUUAUUAUUGACAAUUGUACCAAUGAAUACUCCCUCCGGUCCUUUUUAUAAGAAACAUUUUGGAAAAAAAAUUUGGUUCUUUUAAUAAGAAACUUUGACUAAUUUUCAAAUGUUUUAAAUGUUCAAUUUCACUUAUUCCCUUAUUUAUUAUGAGAGAAAAUUUAAAAAUAAGUAAGUUAGUUGAAUAAAUAGUAAUUAAAUAAGGGUAUACAUGAAAUAAAUUUAAAUUUACAAGAUUAUUAAAUAAAAAUAACUAUGUUAAAUGUGUUUCCUCAGUCUAUGUGAUUUUUUUAAAGUGUUUCUUAUAAAAAGAACCGGAUGGAGUAUCUUACAAAUAUGUUACAAAGUCAAAUGUUAAAUAAAAAAUUGACACCUUUUAAACUACUUUUUAAAUAUAAGUUCGUUGAUUAAAUUAAGAGUAUUAAGAAAGUUGAUAAUAGUAAUAAAUUUAUUAAUAGUGGAUAUUGUUUUUAUAUUUUUAUUCGUUAAGAGAUAAUUUAUUUAUGUUUUAUCGUGAUAUGUAUUGUAAGGUGUAGAAAAACAGGUUAGAAUAAUUAAGAGUAUUUUUUGAUAAAUAAAUUAUUAAUGUUGUUGAAAAAUUCAAAGAGGGUCUUUAGAAAGGGAUACGUUUUAUUUUUUUGUAAAAAAAUCUUAUAAUUAAGGACGAAUGUAAUAAAAAAUUAAGAAAUUUCUUGAAUAAGAUAAAUAAGAAAAGUUAUAGAAAAGAGCUUACCACCACCAUAGCUAGUUGCAACAUGAAAUAGUGAAAGAAAGAGGGACAUCACAUAAAUAAACUUUAAAACUGCAGCCAUAUUUCUCAUCAUUUGUAUAUUAUAAACAAAUUAAAAAUUUGUAAUUUGACAAAUUUAUUUAUAAUGUAAAAAUCAUCGUACUCUUAUUACUUCAAUGAAAAAAAAAAUUGAAUUAUUGUUAA